CAGAGGGGGCAAGCGUUAUUCGGAAUUAUUGGGCGUAAAGGGCUCGUAGGCGGUGUUUUAAGUGAGAUGUGCAAUCCCCGGGCUUAACCUGGGAACUGCAUCUCAGACUGGAACGCUAGAGUGCUGGAGAGGGUGGUAGAAUUCCACGUGUAGCGGUGAAAUGCGUAGAGAUGUGGAGGAAUACCAGUGGCGAAGGCGGCCACCUGGACAGUAACUGACGCUGAGGAGCGAAAGUGUGGGUAGCAAACAGGAUUAGAUACCCCGGUAGUCCUAGCCCUAAACGAUGAAUGCUUGGUGUAACGGGUAUCGAUCCCUGUUGUGCCGAAGCUAACGCAUUAAGCAUUCCGCCUGGGGAGUACGGUCGCAAGGCUG
RNAcentral lists this ribosomal RNA (372 nucleotides) under uncultured organism. RNAcentral describes it as "bacterial SSU rRNA". It matches the Rfam family "Bacterial small subunit ribosomal RNA", at positions 526 to 896 of the family's 1533-position model. The record is from RNAcentral.